This 220-nucleotide long non-coding RNA is filed under the name Capsicum annuum. RNAcentral's name for it is "long non-coding RNA (CANN_LNC018933)". The record is from RNAcentral. Lineage: Eukaryota; Viridiplantae; Streptophyta; Magnoliopsida; Solanales; Solanaceae.
UAACAAAUUAUCAAAGGCCCUUUGAACUUUGUGGUAAAGGCGGGUGGCAACUUGCUAUACAUAGACCGUGUCCCAUAACUGGGGACAACAUGCUUAGUCCAGUUUGCACAAUAUUUAUAGCCACAAUUAUGGCAGGUUAUGAUUUUGAUAUAGCAAAGUUUAUUAACGGAGAGAUCCGUGAGUGAGCGGUUGGUACUGAUGUGGUUUUGGCUUCCCCAUG